AUCCAUAGUUAUACCAUCCUGAACGUGCCUGAUCUCAUCUGAUCUUGGAAGCUAAGCAGGGUUGAGCCUGGUUAUUACUUGGAUG
Molecule: ribosomal RNA, 85 nt
Filed under: Jaculus jaculus (lesser Egyptian jerboa)
Lineage: Eukaryota; Metazoa; Chordata; Mammalia; Rodentia; Dipodidae
Source: RNAcentral